UUUGAGAAUGGCACACCGUUGUGUUUCUUCUAAUGAGAAGUUUUAUUUUUUAUUUAAGAGGCUGUAACUUAGCACCUACCAAAACACCUGUGGUAAAGCACCAGCUUCUUUUACUUUAACUUUACAGCUAAAUGAUGUCUUAGUCUAUACCAGGCCCACUGAUCAGGCACUUGGAGGCUGUGGCAGGGUCUAGCUGCCAUAAAAGUACCCAAAAUGAUUACUCCCAUGAUCUGGACUUACCAUGUCACAAACUGGUAGCAAGCAGUCUGAAGACCGCACUUUGAAGAGUGUUCUUCAAACGGAUUAAAAGCAAAUUGUCAGGGGUUAUCUCAGUAUCUGUGAUAACUGUGUGUUAUUUCCGUAAAGAAAGAAUUAAUGACCAUGUACUGGAUCAAAUGGCAUUCUACUGCAGAACUGAGCACUGCCAUUCAAUUAUUACAUCAGUGCCUAUAUUGUGUUCACCAUCUCAGGAACCUUCAUGUGUGCAGGCUAGCAGGAAAAGCAGAGAGGAUCUCCCAGGAAAAUACUCUAUUUGUGCUACAUCCUCCAAAAGAGGAGUGAAGACAGUGUCACUGCUCUGUCAAUAUCAGGAAAGAUAAAGGAGCUGGGGCAUGAAGAGGUAUAUGACUUGGCCAAAGGCAAAAAAACCUAGGCAGCCUGAACUGAGCCCAGCGGGACUCUCCAUCACCUGUAGUAGCUGAGAACAUCGCGGUCCUCCUUCUGCCCUUCUUUGGCAUCUUGGGCCAGUUCCCGG
This is a long non-coding RNA of Leopardus geoffroyi (Geoffroy's cat), 754 nucleotides long. RefSeq lists it as uncharacterized. Lineage: Eukaryota; Metazoa; Chordata; Mammalia; Carnivora; Felidae. The transcript has 3 exons. The record is from RefSeq and is a predicted model, not a curated record.